This 253-nucleotide ribosomal RNA is filed under the name uncultured bacterium. RNAcentral describes it as "partial 16S ribosomal RNA". It matches the Rfam family "Bacterial small subunit ribosomal RNA", at positions 524 to 776 of the family's 1533-position model. The record is from RNAcentral.
UACAGAGGGUGCGAGCGUUAAUCGGAAUUACUGGGCGUAAAGCGUGCGUAGACGGUUAUCUAAGUCAGAUGUGAAAGCCCCGGGCUCAACCUGGGAAUUGCAUUUGAGACUGAAUAGCUAGGGUGCGGUAGAGGGAAGCGGAAUUUCCGGUGUAGCGGUGAAAUGCGUAGAUAUCGGGAGGAACACCAGUGGCGAAGGCGACUUCCUGGCCUGUUCUUGACGCUGAGGCGCGAAAGCUAGGGGAGCAAACGGG